RNAcentral lists this ribosomal RNA (402 nucleotides) under uncultured bacterium. Its description in RNAcentral is "bacterial SSU rRNA". It matches the Rfam family "Bacterial small subunit ribosomal RNA", at positions 355 to 774 of the family's 1533-position model. The record is from RNAcentral.
UGGGGAAUCUUGCACAAUGGGGGAAACCCUGAUGCAGCGACGCCGCGUGAACGAUGAAGCCCUUCGGGGUGUAAAGUUCCUUCGACAGGAACGAUAAUGACGGUACCUGGAGAAGAAGCUGCGGCUAACUACGUGCCAGCAGCCGCGGUAAUACGUAGGCAGCGAGCGUUGUUCGGAGUUACUGGGCGUAAAGAGUGCGUAGGCGGCGAGCCAAGUUUGGUGUGAAAUCUCCCGGCUUAACCGGGAGAGUGCGCCGAAAACUGGUUGGCUGGAGUAUGGGAGAGGAAAGCGGAAUUCCUGGUGUAGCGGUGAAAUGCGUAGAUAUCAGGAGGAACACCUGCGGUGUAGACAGCUUUCUGGACCAAAACUGACGCUGAGGCACGAAAGCGUGGGUAGCAAACA